AUGGUUUUUGACUUGCAGGAAUUUGAAGAAGUAACGCACAGGAGUUGCACUGGCCUUUGGUUCCAGCAGUCGGGGCCGAUCAAAGACCUCAGUGUGUGUGAUGACUCUGGCCACUCAUUUCUACUUGGACUUGCUCGAGGACCACAUGCAGGGUUCACAGGACGGUACCAAGUCAUUCAUGAGGGACCUGCCUCCAAGACUCAAACACCUCCCACCAGGUUCUACCUCCACCACUGGGGAUCACAUUUCAACAUGAGAUUUGGAGGGGACAAACAUCCCAACUAUAUCACCUGCCAAGUAAGAUGGGGACACCUAAGGGGGAAGGGGGCACAGAGAGGGCAGUUGGGGGUGCCACAGACAAAUCUCACCCAUUCCUGACUGGCCCUACUUGGGACUGGCCUGACCAAAGCCUACCAAAUCCCCAGGAUGCUGGCCUGUCCCCUGCCAGGCUCUGUGGCCUCUGCUGGCACUGGGAUGUCAGACUCACUUGACUCCCUUGAUCUUACCUUUCCACUCCCUCACUCUUUCACCAUCUCUCUCCAUUAAUCUCUCCUCCUUUUCAUUGCCUCCUUAACUUUUUUUUUGAGACAGGGUCUCACUCAGUUGCCCAAACUGGAGUGCAGUGGUGCUAUCUCAGCUCACCGCAACCUCCACCUCCCAGGCUCAGGCAAUUCUCCUGCCUCAGCCUCCCAAGUAGCUGGGAUUACAGGCCCAUGCCACCAUGCUCGGUUAGUUUUUGUAUUUUUAGUAGAGACAGGGUUUCACCCCGUUGGCCAGGCUGGUCUUGAACUCCUGACCUCAAAUGAUCCACCCGCCUAGGCCUGCCAAAAUGCUGGGAUUACAGGCGAGAGCCACUGGGACCGGCCAUCUCUUUAACUUUUGAUUUUACUCUUGCAUUUUCUUUUUCUCACCUUUUUUUUUUCCUCUUUCAUUAUCUCUCACACUUUAUCUUAUUCUUCCUCAUUUUCUUCCUUCCUUCCUUCCUUCCUUCCUUCCUUCCUUCCUUUCUUCCUUCCUUCCUGCCUUCCUCCCUCCCUCCCUCCCUCUUUCUUUUCCUUCCUUCCUUCCUUCUCUCUCUCUUUUCUCCUUCCUCCCUCCCUUCCUUCCUUCCUUCCUUCCUUCCUUUCCUUCCUUUCCUUCCUUCCUUCCUUCCUUCCUUCCUUCCUUCCUUCCUUCCUUCCUUCCUUCUUUCUCCUUCCUUCUUUUCUUUUCUUCUCGCUCUGUUGCCCAGGCUGGAGUGGAGUGGCAUGAUCUUGGCUCACUGCAACUUGCACCUUCGGAAUUGGAGCGAUUUCCUACCUCAGACUCCCGAAUACCUGGGAUUAGAGGCGCACGCCACCACACCCGGCUAGUUUUUGUAUUUUUAGUAGAGAGCGGGUUUCACCAUGUUGGCCAGGCUGACUUGAACUCCUGAGCUCAAGUGAUCCACCCGCCUCAGCCUCCCAAAGUGCUGGGAUUAUAGACAUGAACCACUGCGCCUGGCCUCUUUCACAUUUUCUUUCAUGCCGCUUUCAUUCUCUUCUACCUCCUCUAUCUCACUUUUUUUUAAAACCAUGCUCAGUCUGCUAGAAAAAUGGUGGUUCUCCAUCUACUCAAGCCAUUUUGAUAGCUUUCAACAGGGAAACAUUUUAUUCUAUGUGGAUGCUAUGCAUUUGAUAAGCAUACACUCCUUUUCUCGCCUUGUUCCUUCUUUUUUUCACGUCCUAUAUUUCUUUUCUCUGUGAACCUCUUCUCUCCUUCUCUUUCUACAUCUUCCUUUCAGCUGCCUGAACAUCUCAAUUGUACCACGUUGGCCGAUCCUCACUGGUCUGAUAUUUUAUAUUAGGUGCGUCUGCUUUAACUAUUCCACUUAAAAAUUAAACCCAUCUGCCCCAAACUGAAAACAGCCUCUCCCCCACCAGGGACAAUAAAUAUUGAUGACUUGA
Molecule: long non-coding RNA, 1925 nt
Organism: Papio anubis (olive baboon)
Lineage: Eukaryota; Metazoa; Chordata; Mammalia; Primates; Cercopithecidae
Source: Ensembl